UACGGGGGGAGCAAGCGUUGUUCGGAUUUACUGGGCGUAAAGGGCGCGUAGGCGGUCAGCACAAGUCAGUUGUGAAAUCUCCGGGCUUAACUCGGAAAGGUCAACUGAUACUGUGCGACUAGAGUGCAGAAGGGGCAACUGGAAUUCUCGGUGUAGCGGUGAAAUGCGUAGAUAUCAGGAGGAACACCGGUGGCGAAGGCGGGUCUCUGGGCAGUAACUGACGCUGAGGAGCGAAAGCGUGGGGAGCGAACAGG
RNAcentral lists this ribosomal RNA (254 nucleotides) under uncultured bacterium. RNAcentral describes it as "partial 16S ribosomal RNA". It matches the Rfam family "Bacterial small subunit ribosomal RNA", at positions 524 to 776 of the family's 1533-position model. The record is from RNAcentral.